Oncorhynchus keta (chum salmon) is the source of this 1816-nucleotide long non-coding RNA. RefSeq lists it as uncharacterized. The record is from RefSeq and is a predicted model, not a curated record. NCBI's taxonomy places the organism in Eukaryota, Metazoa, Chordata, Actinopteri, Salmoniformes, Salmonidae. The transcript is spliced from 3 exons.
AGUCUAUCAGACAGUAUUAUAUUAUAAUAUUCCAUGUAUCCAGUCUAUCAGUCAGUAUUAUAUUAUAAUGUUCCAGGUAUCCAGUCUAUCAGACAGUAUUAUGAUGUUCCAGGUAUCCAGUCUAUCAGACAGUAUUAUAUUAUAAUGUUCCAGGUAUCCAGUCUAUCAGACAGUAUUAUAAUGUUCCAGGUAUCCAGUCUAUCAGACAGUAUUAUGAUGUUCCAGGUAUCCAGUCUAUCAGUCAGUAUUAUUUUAUAAUGUUCCAGGUAUCCAGUCUAUCAGGCAGUAUUAUAUUAUAAUGUUCCAGGUAUCCAGUCUAUCAGACAGUAUUAUGAUGUUCCAGGUAUCCAGUCUAUCAGACAGUAUUAUGAUGUUCCAGGUAUCCAGUCUAUCAGUCAGUAUUAUUUUAUAAUGUUCCAGGUAUCCAGUCUAUCAGGCAGUAUUAUAUUAUAAUGUUCCAGGUAUCCAGUCUAUCAGACAGUAUUAUAAUGUUCCAGGUAUCCAGUCUAUCAGACAGUAUUAUGAUGUUCCAGGUAUCCAGUCUAUCAGACAGUAUUAUAUUAUAAUGUUCCAGGUAUCCAGUCUAUCAGACAGUAUUAUAAUGUUCCAGGUAUCCAGUCUAUCAGACAGUAUUAUGAUGUUCCAGGUAUCCAGUCUAUCAGACAGUAUUAUGAUGUUCCAGGUAUCCAGUCUAUCAGACAGUAUUAUGAUGUUCCAGGUAUCCAGUCUAUCAGUCAGUAUUAUUUUAUAAUGUUCCAGGUAUCCAGUCUAUCAGGCAGUAUUAUAUUAUAAUGUUCCAGGUAUCCAGUCUAUCAGACAGUAUUAUAAUGUUCCAGGUAUCCAGUCUAUCAGACAGUAUUAUGAUGUUCCAGGUAUCCAGUCUAUCAGACAGUAUUAUAAUGUUCCAGGUAUCCAGUCUAUCAGACAGUAUUAUGAUGUUCCAGGUAUCCAGUCUAUCAGACAGUAUUAUGAUGUUCCAGGUAUCCAGUCUAUCAGACAGUAUUAUAUUAUAAUGUUCCAGGUAUCCAGUCUAUCAGACAGUAUUAUGAUGUUCCAGGUAUCCAGUCUAUCAGUCAGUAUUAUAUUAUAAUGUUCCAGGUAUCCAGUCUAUCAGACAGUAUUAUGUUCCAGGUAUCUAGUCUAUCAGUCAGUAUUAUAUUAUCAUGUUCCAGGUAUCCAGUCUAUCAGACAGUAUUAUAAUGUUCCAGGUAUCCAGUCUAUCAGACAGUAUUAUAAUGUUCCAGGUAUCCAGUCUAUCAGACAGUAUUAUAAUAUUCCAGGUAUCCAGUCUAUCAGACAGUAUUAUGAUGUUCCAGGUAUCCAGUCUAUCAGACAGUAUUAUAAUGUUCCAGGUAUCCAGUCUAUCAGACAGUAUUAUAAUGUUCCAGGUAUCCAGUCUAUCAGACAGUAUUAUAAUGUUCCAGGUAUCCAGUCUAUCAGUCAGUAUUAUAUUAUAAUGUUCCAGGUAUCCAGUCUAUCAGUCAGUAUUAUAUUAUAAUGUUCCAGGUAUCCAGUCUAUCAGACAGUAUAGUAUUGGGGACUCCAGUUCGUGGUAACAGACUCCACCUGUCCUCUCUGCUGGUCAACCUCACUCCUGAGACUUACACCUGGAGUCGCCUCAAAGCUGCCCUCUCCCUACACAGGAAGACCAAAGCGUUCCUGACUCCGAAGAGGCCUCUCUACCUGCUGUCCUCUCCUGGGGCGGAGCUAGGGGCGGAGCUAGGGGUGGGGCUAGGGGCGGAGCUAGGUGAUGUCAGUCAAAAACUGUUCUCCACACCCCGCUGCACGCCCCGCCCACCAAACCUCCGCUCUUUGA